GGGUGCGCCAGCUCUAUCGACUCCUUAAGCCAGAUUGGUGCAGGCCUCUCAUCCGACGGGCCCGGGAUCCGAUUAUCCGGUUGAUCCUGGCGGAGGUCACUGCUAUCGGGGUUCGAUUAAGCCAUGCGAGUCGAGAGGGUUCAGACCCUCGGCGGACUGCUCAGUAACACGUGGAUAAUCUGCCCUAUGGUGGAGGAUAACCCCGGGAAACUUUUUUUUUAUACUCCAUAAGUCAGGAGUACUGGAAUGUCUCCUAACUGAAAGUUGCGGCGCCAUAGGAUGUUUUUCCUAGCCGAUUAGGUAGUUGUUGGGGUAACGGCCCAACUAUCCCGUAAUCGGUACGGGUUGUGGGCGCCACGAGCCCGGAGAUGGAAUCUGAGACACGAUUCCAGGCCCUACGGGGCGCAGCAGGCGCGAAAACUUUACAAUGCAGGAAACUGUGAUAAGGGAACCCCGAGUGCCCGUAAACGCGGGCUGUCCCGGUGUUUAAAACACAUCGGAAGAAAGGGCCGGGCAAGACCGGUGCCAGCCGCCGCGGUAAUACCGGCGGCUCGAGUGGUGACCACUUUUUAUUGGGCUUAAAGCGUUCGUAGCUUGAUUUUAGUCCUCUGGAAAUCUCACGGCUUACUGUGAGCGUCUAGAAUACUGGGAUCUAGGGACGGGAAAGUAAAGGUACUCAGGUUAAUGGAUCUGUAUCUGAGACCCGAUGCGAGAUCUACACACGUUCUCAUGUGGAACACAUG
RNAcentral lists this ribosomal RNA (743 nucleotides) under uncultured archaeon. RNAcentral's name for it is "partial 16S ribosomal RNA". It matches the Rfam family "Archaeal small subunit ribosomal RNA", at positions 1 to 663 of the family's 1478-position model. The record is from RNAcentral.